Long non-coding RNA from Prionailurus viverrinus (fishing cat), 998 nucleotides. RefSeq lists it as uncharacterized. The record is from RefSeq and is a predicted model, not a curated record. Lineage: Eukaryota; Metazoa; Chordata; Mammalia; Carnivora; Felidae. The transcript has 3 exons.
UCCGCUCCGCCCGCCCCCCGCGCCCUGCGGCUCACGUCCCGGAGACUUCGGCGCAGGGACCCGCGCCUCAAGAUGGAGCUGGACCCUUCCCUGCGCCGCCCUCCCGAGGCCGCGGCGGGGCGAGGGGUAGGCACUGCCUUGCACCUCGAUUUCCGGUCAUCCCUGGAUUUUUUUUGUCUUGAGAGCUGGGGACAUCUGGAAGUGGAAGUCUCGUGCAUUCGCUGCGGAAAGCUCUGGACAGAUCAUUCAGUGGGGAAAGCCACGGGCGGCACCGUAUGCGUUUCUGAAUUUCAUAGCAAACACCAGAGACCACUAAUCCCCUCAAAGGCUGUUGCGAAACUCCCCGUGGGCUGCGGGCACAUGGAGACAAUUAACAUGAUUUAUACGACACAAGAGCUAUUGGAAAGAGGAAACCUUCUGCCUCCACAUGUGCCUGGGGUUCCUAAGUCAAAGAGUGUGGCUGUGCUGCCCUGGUCUCGACCCACACUCAGGCUCUGUGGAGAUUAAUCUUCCCUGGAGGGAACACGGGCCCGCUACGUCAGCCAAGAUGCAAAACGCAAGUGACUGUUGGCCUGUGAGGACAACUUUUAAGACGGAUGCUCAAGUGUCCACACCAACCCUUAUCCUGUGUCCCUCCUGCCACCUGCUGCCUUGCCAGACUCUCAUCGUUGUGUUAAAGACCCGCGGAGAUUUUCUACGCGUUGCCUUUCAACUCAGGGUCCAAGGUCAGCAAAUGGUCCUUGCGGUAUAGGAACUGAGUAAUGUUUGAGAUUACGUUACAAAUAGAAGUAAUCACACGGACAUUUCCUUAACUGUCUUUGUAGCAUCAUCAUCACCAUCAUCACCAUCAUCAUCUCUAACACUUCUAGAUCUUUCAUUUUGUGCUCAGCACUAUUUUAAAUACUUUGACAAAUACUCUGACUCAUUUAAUCCUCACAAUAAUCUGAUGACGUUACUAUUGUCAUUGGCCCCAUCGAACAAAGAAAUGGAGACACGCA